AACGAACGCUGGCGGCAUGCCUAACACAUGCAAGUCGAACGAGACCUUCGGGUCUAGUGGCGCACGGGUGCGUAACGCGUGGGAAUCUGCCCUUGGGUUCGGAAUAACAGUUGGAAACGACUGCUAAUACCGGAUGAUGACGUAAGUCCAAAGAUUUAUCGCCCAAGGAUGAGCCCGCGUAGGAUUAGCUAGUUGGUGAGGUAAAGGCUCACCAAGGCGACGAUCCUUAGCUGGUCUGAGAGGAUGAUCAGCCACACUGGGACUGAGACACGGCCCAGACUCCGACGGGAGGCAGCAGUGGGGAAUAUUGGACAAUGGGCGAAAGCCUGAUCCAGCAAUGCCGCGUGAGUGAUGAAGGCCUUAGGGUUGUAAAGCUCUUUUACCCGGGAUGAUAAUGACAGUACCGGGAGAAUAAGCUCCGGCUAACUCCGUG
Molecule: ribosomal RNA, 433 nt
Filed under: uncultured bacterium
Lineage: Bacteria
Description: partial 16S ribosomal RNA
Rfam family: Bacterial small subunit ribosomal RNA
Source: RNAcentral